Molecule: ribosomal RNA, 222 nt
Filed under: Collyriclum faba
Lineage: Eukaryota; Metazoa; Platyhelminthes; Trematoda; Plagiorchiida; Collyriclidae
Description: partial 5.8S ribosomal RNA
Rfam family: 5.8S ribosomal RNA (bases 1-104)
Source: RNAcentral
CAACUGUGUGAAUUAAUGUGAACUGCAUACUGCUUUGAACAUCGACAUCUUGAACGCAUAUUGCGGCCAUGGGUUAGCCUGUGGCCACGCCUGUCCGAGGGUCGGCUUAUAAACUAUCACGACGCCCAUAAAGUCGUGGCUUGGGUUUUGCCAGCUGGCGUGAUUUCCUUAUCAUUAAUUUUGGUGAGGUGCCAGAUCUAUGGCUUUUCCCUAAUGUGUCCG